CUCGUAGGCGGUUUGUCGCGUCGGGAGUGAAAACACCGGGCUUAACUCGGUGCUUGCUUUCGAUACGGGCAGACUAGAGGUAUGCAGGGGAGAACGGAAUUCCUGGUGUAGCGGUGAAAUGCGCAGAUAUCAGGAGGAACACCGGUGGCGAAGGCGGUUCUCUGGGCAUUACCUGACGCUGAGGAGCGAAAGUGUGGGGAGCGAACAGGAUUAGAUACCCUGGUAGUCCACACCGUAAACGUUGGGCGCUAGGUGUGGGAUCCAUUCCACGGGUUCCGUGCCGCAGCUAACGCAUUAAGCGCCCCGCCUGGGGAGUACGGCCGCAAGGCUAAA
RNAcentral lists this ribosomal RNA (333 nucleotides) under uncultured Nocardioides sp. Its description in RNAcentral is "bacterial SSU rRNA". It matches the Rfam family "Bacterial small subunit ribosomal RNA", at positions 568 to 898 of the family's 1533-position model. Lineage: Bacteria; Bacillati; Actinomycetota; Actinomycetes; Propionibacteriales; Nocardioidaceae. The record is from RNAcentral.